Non-coding RNA from Oncorhynchus mykiss (rainbow trout), 2315 nucleotides. Lineage: Eukaryota; Metazoa; Chordata; Actinopteri; Salmoniformes; Salmonidae. The record is from RefSeq and is a predicted model, not a curated record.
GUUUGUCUCGAUUUCUUUCUCUGUAUCUCAGGUGUUGGUGACUGGUCUAUGGUCCACAGAGAGGGAUUCCAUCCAUGCUCUCCUCGGUGAUCUCCAACAGCUGUGCUCUCUAUAGGGAUUAUGGAAACCACAGACCUCCCCCGUACCCCAGGAAGAACAUCAGACCCAGAGCUUCACUUCAACACAACCCAUAUAACCCAUACAGGCCAUACCUGAGAAGGGUGGAUACGAGAGUAUCUUUAGCCGAUCCCAAGAAAAUCUCCAGGGCCACCAGUAGGGGUCAGUAUGUCACCAUGCCUGUUUGCCAUCCAAGGCUGCAUUUCUCUCCGAGACUGGCGCUAGGCAUGGGGCAGCCCCGGGCCAACACCAGACAAAGCCCACUGCCGGUCAGUCAGAGGAUCAUCCAAUCACAGCACAAAGCAAGGCAGACCAGGAGUGCUGGGAGCUGCUCCAGUUAUAAUACAAGCUCCUGGGUUGAGAAAGGCUCUAGUAAACCUGAUAAAGGGAAGAAAACACCAUACAAGGCCACAUCUUCUUCUCCAAGAGUACAGGAGACAUAAGCCACAAGAGUUCCAGUUCUAAUGGUCGCCAGCAAUAUCGCUACUUCACCAAGGAUGGAAUGUGUCGCGGCUCGUCAUACCACAUGACACAUUCAUACUAAGAACAAGAUGUGUGACCUGAUCGGCACCCUGGUGGAUCUGAAGUACAGCUGGAUCCUGUUUGUCUUUACCCUGUGCUACAAUGUCACCUGGACAGCCUUCGCAGAGCUCUACUUCCUGGAUGCCUGGCUGCGUGGUGAUGUGGAGCACAUACAAUGUGUUCCACAUACAAACCCGCAAUGGCAGCCAUGCUUUGAGAAGCUGGACAGUUUCCAUUCGGCCCUCUCUAUCUCCAUGGACAGCCAAAUCAUCAAUGGCUACGGCACUAGAGAGGCCUCAGUCAACUGCAUGGACGGGCUGGUUCUCAUGAUGUCACAGUCCGUCAUUGAAUCAGUGUUAGACGUCCUUAUGCUGGGCUACAUCCUGGCUAAGAUAGCCAAGCCUAAGAGGAGGCUGCCCACUUUGUUGUUCAGUCAGCACUGUGUGGUCUGAGAGGGAUGAGAGCCUGUGCCUGAUGUUCAACGUCAGGACUUUGAAAGAGACACACAUGCUGGUGGCAGAGAUUAGAGCCAAGCUGAUCAAAUCUCACCAUACCAAAGAGGGAGAGUUCAUCCUGUUGGAUCAGAGAGAGCUGACUCUGCGGAUGGAACCAGAUGGAGCCAGGUUGUUCACAGUGGAGCCCCAGACCAUGGAGCAUGUAAUUGAUGAACACAGGCCUCUCUGGGGCAUCAGCACUGACUCUUUAAAGUGGGAGACCUUUGAAAACCGUGGUCAUGGUGGAUGGAGCCAUGCAAGACGCGGGUUUGUACUGAGAGGCACAGCCUUCCAUGUGAGGACCUCCUACACUGAAUAUGAUAUUCUUUGGGGACAGCGCUUUAAGUCAUGCAAGCCAUUAGAUGAGAGGGGGAUUGGGUCCAAUCACAAGACCUCUGAUAAGAACUAUAAGGUCCAGAUUGCCACACACAGUGACAAAGAGAUGGCAGUGAGACAUAGACAUAAGAGAUCUCCUGGACACGACACAGACACUGUCCCCUCCAACAUGUCUACAAGGAAAGUACAUUACCAGUAUUUAUCUGAUCAAAUGUUACUGUGCAACUCAGUCAGUAAUAACAAUGGCACAGGAACUAGGAAACUUAGUAAGAAUGAGUUCUUUAUAUAAAUAUGGACGUUUGACAGGUCGGUAUAGCAGGGUUCAUCAAAGUGAUGAAAUCAAGACACACUGUACAUAUCCUCCAGAACGUUUAUACAAUGGGAAUAAAUGAAUGAUGAUGACCAAUAUCUAAAGCUGCCACAUCUUAUUUAUCAAACUUUCUGAAUACUUACAUUUGUAUAUGUGAGCAGUGAGCACAGCAUGCCUUGUGCUAGGCAAACACAAUUAUGCUGAUUGUUAGUGGUCUCCUUACAGUAUGCAAGGAAUUACAAAAGGUUUUUUUUUUGUUGCCCAUACACCAAACUCUCCCGAUUUAAAUGAUGAGUGUCAUUUAAUGAUUGUAUUGUGGGGAACCAAUUUGAGAAAUGGAAGACCGAACUGACAGUCGCGCAUGACAAGACAAAUUAAUGUCAGUAUUACUGUCUCAUCACCAGCAAUGUGGAUAUCUCAUUCAUAUACCAUGCUAGACUCAUAUAUAUAUAUAUAUAUUACGUGGUAGAUAAGCUUUAGCAUUGGAGAUAGAUUGUGGCUUCCAUCAACGUAAUUGUCUGCAUCAUUUCCAAGCU